This 421-nucleotide ribosomal RNA is filed under the name uncultured bacterium. Its description in RNAcentral is "partial 16S ribosomal RNA". It matches the Rfam family "Bacterial small subunit ribosomal RNA", at positions 360 to 773 of the family's 1533-position model. The record is from RNAcentral.
AAUAUAGGACAAUGGGGGCAAUUAUGAUCCAGUGAUAUCGCGUGUGUGAUGAAUGUCCUCGCUGUGUAAUGCUCUUUAAGCUGGGAGGAAGGGCUUUAGGUUAAUACCCUGAAGUGUUGACGUUACAAAUCGAAUAAUCACCGCCUAACUCUGUUCCAGCAGCCGAGGUAAUACAGAGGGUGCAAGCGUUAAUCGGAAUUACUGGGCGUAAAGCGCGCGUAGGUGGUUCAGUAAGGUGGGUGUGAAAUCCCCGGGCUUAACCUGGGAACUGCUUUCAUAACUGCUGAGCUAGAGUACGGUAGAGGGUAGUGGAAUUUCCUGUGUAGCGGUGAAAUGCGUAGAUAUAGGAAGGAACACCAGUGGCGAAGGCGACUACCUGGACUGAUACUGACACUGAGGUGCGACAGCGUGGGGAGCAAAC